This 461-nucleotide ribosomal RNA is filed under the name uncultured bacterium. RNAcentral's name for it is "bacterial SSU rRNA". It matches the Rfam family "Bacterial small subunit ribosomal RNA", at positions 917 to 1382 of the family's 1533-position model. The record is from RNAcentral.
GAGCCCGCACAAGCAGUGGAGUAUGUGGUUUAAUUCGACGCAACGCGAAGAACCUUACCAGGUCUUGACAUCCAAGGAAUCCGGCGUAAUGGCUGGAGUGCCCUUCGGGGAACCUUGAGACAGGUGGUGCAUGGUUGUCGUCAGCUCGUGUCGUGAGAUGUUGGGUUAAGUCCCGCAACGAGCGCAACCCUUACGGUUAGUUGCUACGAAAGAGCACUCUAGCCGGACUGCCGUUGACAAAACGGAGGAAGGUGGGGAUGACGUCAAAUCAUCAUGCCCCUUACGACCUGGGCUACACACGUACUACAAUGGCGCAAACAAAGGGGAGCGAAGCCGCGAGGUGGAGCAAAUCUCAAAAAAGGCGCCCCAGUUCGGAUUGCAGGCUGCAACUCGCCUACAUGAAGUCGGAAUUGCUAGUAAUCGCGGAUCAGCAUGCCGCGGUGAAUACGUUCCCGGGCUUU